AUUGAACGCUGGCGGCAGGCCUAACACAUGCAAGUCGAGCGGAUGAAGGGAGCUUGCUCCUGGCUUCAGCGGCGGACGGGUGAGUAAUGCAUAGGAAUAUGCCUGGUAGUGGGGGAUAACGUCAGGAAACGGGCGCUAAUACCGCAUACGUCAUGAGGGAGAAAGUGGGGGAUCUUUGGACCUCACGCUAUCAGAUGAGCCUAGGUCGGAUUAGCUAGUUGGUGGGGUAAAGGCCUACCAAGGCGACGAUCCGUAACUGGUCUGAGAGGAUGAUCAGUCACACUGGAACUGAGACACGGUCCAGACUCCUACGGGAGGCAGCAGUGGGGAAUAUUGGACAAUGGGCGAAAGCCUGAUCCAGCCAUGCCGCGUGUGUGAAGAAGGUCUUCGGAUUGUAAAGCUCUGUAAGUUGGGAGGAAGGGCAGUAUGUGUAUACCUUGCUGUUUUGACGGUACCAACAGAGAAAGCACCGGCUAACUUCGUG
RNAcentral lists this ribosomal RNA (484 nucleotides) under uncultured bacterium. Its description in RNAcentral is "partial 16S ribosomal RNA". It matches the Rfam family "Bacterial small subunit ribosomal RNA", at positions 30 to 507 of the family's 1533-position model. The record is from RNAcentral.